Molecule: long non-coding RNA, 2843 nt
Organism: Anopheles arabiensis
Lineage: Eukaryota; Metazoa; Arthropoda; Insecta; Diptera; Culicidae
Exons: 2
Source: RefSeq, a predicted model, not a curated record
GUGCAAGUCGAGAGUAUGAAAAAUAUCUUGCAUCUCACCGUCAUGCUUCGCUGUGUUUGAGCAUUGAGUGCGCUUUACGUUGCGAUGUCUAGAGUUUGCUUUUGCACUUACUUGUGUCUGUGGUGCUGUUUAGUUAUGCAUACAGUGCAUGAUUAAAGGCAUUCUUCAUGCGGCUAGUCAUGUCAUGUUUCUGUGUUGUGCGCGAACACGAUAAACGUGUCGGUGCAAGGAUAUCGCGAUAAAGUGACUCGGCUGCCUCACUACUGCUGCUACACUACGAACGACUCGCUCCAGCGCGGAUGGCCACCGGGGGUUUCAUUAGGUUCGGCCUGCUUCACUUCGUAGUCGUGUCACUGAAAAGAAUUAACGGCUGUCAGAGCUGUCAGUUUGCUGCCCAUUCUGUUGGAGCCGCUAAACGCUGAGGCGCUGUUACCCUUCCUUUCCGAGCGGGAAGCCCCAGUCGCGCCGUGUGCGCAGCGAGCGGGGGCACAAUUUACAUCCAAUCAUGGGCUUCCUCCACAAAUCACACGUGUAUUUGCAGCACGCAACCGGGAGUAAUGAAGAUAUACAUCGACAGGUCGUCCGUGCUCAUGGUCAGUGCGUCGUAGAGCGAUCGAUCGUACAAUCGAAACAGAUCGUUCAUCGUUAGUCGCCGAUAAAAAGAAACUAAAGCUAAUAUUCCCAUCGGUUCGCCGCUAACAGGCGCCAAUGAACAUUUGCCGGAGAAGCGGGGGAGCGAUCUCGCGAUCGUGGAAGAACAGAUCGUGUCCAACGAUCAGCGAGCACGUCGGCGAAGCACGAACCAGUGUCUUCUUGCCUGCGGUGUGUUUGAGGCCGGUGUUUUUAAUCGGUUUUUCGAUUUCACUUAACUAAGAAUGAUCGCGGCGGCGAUUAAGCGCUGUCCGUGCGCGCCGAUCCAACAAACGAGCGAGAGUCAUAAAUUAUGCGAAUGAAGUUACAAAAGAGUAACAACCAUAGAUUAUCUUAACCGGCCAACGCUCAUCGCCAUCGACCGUAUCUUGAAGGUUUCCCCAUAAUAAACCACGUCCAUAGCACCAACCAACCUUCUCGUUCAAAACCGACGACUUCGGUUCCUUCACUUAGUGGCGGUAAACGCGAUCGCUGAUCGCUCCAUUCAACGUUGGCAUCGGCAUCAUCAUGCCCGCCCCGUCGGGCAGAGUACCUUUUUAAUGUAUUCAACACAAACAUAUAAAUUAAUUUAUACUAAUUAAAACCGUUAUUAAAGCGAAUGAAGUUUCUAUUUUGUAGUUCCUACAGCGCAGCAGCAUCAGCAGCCGAUCACAGCGGACACGAAUGAACAGAAGGAAUCCCAUCAACAACGGAGAGGUAAAAAAUCGUCAGCAGUAGUACAACUAAUAAGAACUCUCACCUCGCCCUUGCCGGAUGCCGUGUGGUUUCAACCGACGGGACAGAGUGAGAAAUAAAAGAAAAACAACGUAGCGGAAUAAAAAAAACUGUCGAUAAAAUUUACGAUACACCAUAAAAUACAAAUAUUUCACGUAAUUUGAUAUUUCUCCAAGUUCAUCUAUAAACGUAAUGAGGCAAUUAAUUAUUCCUGUUUUAUUGGGGAAUAUAUUUUAUUUUGUCAUAAAUAAAGACACGCUGCUGAGCUAAACGAGCCACAGCGAGCAUUCAUUUUCUGAUGUUGCUGCUGCUGUUGCGGUGGUUGCUGCUGUUGCUGCUGCUGCUGCUGUUGCUCCUGCUCUUGCUAGUGGAAGUUUGUACGUGUGUUCCUUGGUGUUGCUUUUGUACGUGUGAUGUGUUAGUAAGAAACGGUGCACAGCCAGACGGAGCAGGAUAGCAGUACGAAACACGGUGCACGUGAGUAGGAGAGUGCUUCGUGAAAAAAAAACUUGAUCUUCAACCAGCUACAAUCGGCCCAGUGGGAGUUAUGUUUAUAUAGUUAACAGUGAGAAGCAAAGCGAAGCGAUGGAAGGCACAAAAAAACACGUAAAUGAGCGACGAUGAAACGAUUGGAAUGGCCCCAACCGGGGCCAAGACGAUAAACUUAAGCAGCAGAAAAGGAGCGACCAUUUCGACGGAAAUUGCUGUUUCCAGCUAAUAAAACCCACCGCAAACUCGGGUCUGAUGAAAACGAAACGGCAUCUCCUGCUCGUAGCAAACUGCGGUGCUAAGAGCGGUAUGGUAGCUGCUGCUGCUAUGAACGGGUUGCGUUCGUGGGUGCGACAUCGUGCGUGCUGUGCGGAACUACACAAUCGUACAAAUAUUGACACUAUUCGCACCGAGGGUGUUCUUGACAAUUCAUUCAACAAACGCACCAUGGUUUGUGAGAGCGGUUACAAUUCUCAUCAAAAUAGAACAUUUUACACACAUUUAUCAUCGCCACAGAGCGUGGAGAGAACUCCGUCAUGGGCGACAUGUCCGAGAGACUGGUGCCAACUGGUUAAAUUAACUAUUAUAUUUCACUCCGCUGGAGGUCGCCGCAACAACGUUCACCCAACGAGAUGUUACACUCCGUGAGAACGCUAAAAAAAGCUGACAGCUUCUUCAACUACCCACAUUACUACCAUAACAACGUGAUUUAGCGCAGUGCAAGUAACGGGAGCGAACAAAUCGGCACGCCUGUGAAUAGUGGAUGAGUUAUCAUUAUUUGUCCCAUGACAGUUCCUUCACAGCACUGUCAAUGACGAACGCUGGAAUCUGAUGCGCCUUCAAGCCCCAGGAAUGUCCAUCUUCGCUACCGUGCACGGCCCGCGGUGGGUAGGAAGAUAAGCCAAUGGUGAUUGGGUGUAAUGAAAUUCAGUUGGCAGUAGUUAGUAUUGACGUGACUGGAAUAAAUUGUAUACCAAACGAUACUGACA